CUAAGCCAUGCAAGUCUACUCUUGGACUUCCAAGGGUGGCACACUGCUGAGUAACACGUAGUCAACCUGCCCCAAGGAGGGGGAUAACCUCGGGAAACUGAGGCUAACACCACAUAGGCCAUCUAUGCUGGAAUGCUUGAUUGCCCAAAAGGCCGGCGAAUUGGAGCCGGUCCGCCUUGGGAUGGGACUGCGGGGGAUUAUGGUAGUUGGUAGGGUAACGGCCUACCAAGCCGAUAAUCUCUAGGGGCCAUGAGAGUGGUGGCCCCCAGAAGGGCACUGAGACAAGGGCCCUAGUCCUACGGGAUGCAGCAGGCGCGAAACCUCUGCAAUGCGCGAAAGCGUGACAGGGGAACUCCGAGUGACGGAAACUUAGUUUCCGCCUUUUGCCAAGUGUAAACAGCUUGGAGAAUAAGGGUGUGGGCAAGACUGGUGGCAGCCGCCGCGGUAACACCAGCGCCUCAAGUGGUACCCACGUAUACUGGGCCUAGAGCGUCCGUAGCCGGCCUGAUAAGUCUUCUGUGAAAUAGUGGGGCUCAACUCCACUGCGCGCAGGAGAUACUGCCGGGCUUGGGAGCGGGGGAGGUAAGGGGUACACCUAGGGUAGGGGUAAAAUCCGUUGAGCCUAGGUGGACCACCAGUGGCGAAGGCGCCCGGCCAAAACGUGUCCGACGGUGAGGGACGAAAGCUGGGGGAGCGAACGGGAUUAGAUACCCCGGUAGUCCCAGCUGUAAAUGAUGCAGACUGUGGUGUUGCGCCAGAUUUAAUCUGUCGCAGUGCUGUAGCGUAGGUGUUAAGUCUGCCGCCUGGGGAGUACGACCGCAAGGUUGAAACUUAAAGGAAUUGGCGGGGGAGCACCACAAGCCGUGGAUGCUACGGUUCAAUUGGAUACAACGCCGUGAACCUCACCCGGUGCGACGGCAGUAUGAAGGCCAGACUGAAGAUCUUGCCUGACGAGCCGAGAGGUGUUGCAUGGCCAUCGUCAGCUCGUGGUGUGAACUGUCCGGUUAAGUCCGGCAACGAGCGAGACCCAUGCGUUUAGUUGCUACCUCUGCCUUUAGCAGGGGGCACUCUAAACGGACUGCCCGCGUUAAGUGGGAGGAAGGAGUGGGCGACGGUAGGUCAGUAUGGCCCGAAUCACCGGGGCUACACGCGGCAUACAAUGGGUGGAACAAUGGGUUGCUACUCCGAGAGGAGGCGCUAAUCCCCUAAAUCCAUCCCUAGUUCGGAUCGAGGGUUGCAACUCACCCUCGUGAAGCUGGAAUGGCUAGUAAUCGCGUGUCAUCAUCACGCGGUGAAUAAGUCCCCGCUCCUUGCACACACCGCCCGUCAAGUCAUCCAAAUGUGAUGUAGGUGAGAUUCUGGUUCUUGCCAGGCUCGAACCUAUGUUGCGUGAGGAGGGCUAAGUCGUAACAAGGUAUCCGUAGGGGAACCUGCGGAUAGAUCACCUCCAAA
RNAcentral lists this ribosomal RNA (1452 nucleotides) under Microcaldota archaeon. RNAcentral's name for it is "bacterial SSU rRNA". It matches the Rfam family "Archaeal small subunit ribosomal RNA". The record is from RNAcentral. Lineage: Archaea; Nanobdellati; Microcaldota.